CGCAUCUGUGCAUGCAGCAUAUCAAUAAGCGGAGGAAAAGAAACUAACAAGGAUUCCCCUAGUAACGGCGAGUGAAGCGGGAAGAGCUCAAAUUUGAAAUCUUAAAGGGUUUCCCUUUACGAAUUGUAGUUUAAAGAAGUGUUUUCUGUUGAGGUUUUGGUAAAAGUUCUUUGGAAUAGGACAUCAUAGAGGGUGAGAAUCCCGUAUUUGACCUUUACUUUCAACUUUGUGAUACACUUUCAAAGAGUCGGAUUGUUUGGGAAUGCAGUCCAAAAUGGGUGGUAAAUUUCAUCUAAAGCUAAAUAUUGGCGAGAGACCGAUAGCGAACAAGUACCGUGAGGGAAAGAUGAAAAGAACUUUGAAAAGAGAGUUAAACAGUACGUGAAAUUGUCAAAAGGGAAGCGUUUGACACCAGUGUUGUUUUUCUGAAAAUCAAUUAAAGAACUGUUUAUGCUAAGUUGUUUAGACUUUAUCAGCUAACUGUUUAGUUUUGAGCUUUUCUUUAAUGCACUUUUCAGUUAACAAGUCAACAUCAAUUUCUUUUGCUGUAAAAAAGCUUGAGGAAGGUGGCUUGAGAUUCGUCUUAAGUGUUUAUAGCCUCUUGCCUACUGCAGUCGGAGAGAUUGAGGUCUGCAGCGUAGAUCCUUCGGGGCUAAAUGCAUUUGUGCUAAGUUAUAGCAUUUUAUAGACAACUUGUUGACUAUGAUUUGUCUUGUAGCUUACUCGCUUAUGUUAUUUUACCUACGCUUAGGAUGUUGAACGCGCACAGAGUCUC
RNAcentral lists this ribosomal RNA (775 nucleotides) under uncultured Neocallimastigales. Its description in RNAcentral is "partial large subunit ribosomal RNA". It matches the Rfam family "Eukaryotic large subunit ribosomal RNA", at positions 26 to 611 of the family's 3401-position model. The record is from RNAcentral. Lineage: Eukaryota; Fungi; Neocallimastigomycota; Neocallimastigomycetes; Neocallimastigales.